This 492-nucleotide ribosomal RNA is filed under the name uncultured bacterium. RNAcentral's name for it is "partial 16S ribosomal RNA". It matches the Rfam family "Bacterial small subunit ribosomal RNA", at positions 29 to 507 of the family's 1533-position model. The record is from RNAcentral.
AGUGAACGCUGGCGGUAGGCCUAACACAUGCAAGUCGAACGGCAGCACAGUAAGAGCUUGCUCUUACGGGUGGCGAGUGGCGGACGGGUGAGGAAUACAUCGGAAUCUACUUUUUCGUGGGGGAUAACGUAGGGAAACUGACGCUAAUACCGCAUACGACCUACGGGUUAAAUCAGUGGAUCUUCGGACCUUGCGCGAUUGAAUGAGCCGAUGUCGGAUUAGCUAGUUGGCGGGGUAAAGGCCCACCAAGGCGACGAUCCGUAGCUGGUCUGAGAGGAUGAUCAGCCACACUGGAACUGAGACACGGUCCAGACUCCUACGGGAGGCAGCAGUAGGGAAUAUUGGACAAUGGGCGAAAGCCUGAUCCAGCCAUACCGCGUGGGUGAAGAAGGCCUUCGGGUUGUAAAGCCCUGUUGUUGGGAAAGAAAAGCAGCAGGAUAAUACCCCGCUGUUCUGACGGUACCCAAAGAGUAAGCACCGGCUAACUUCGUG